Molecule: long non-coding RNA, 1351 nt
Filed under: Salmo salar (Atlantic salmon)
Lineage: Eukaryota; Metazoa; Chordata; Actinopteri; Salmoniformes; Salmonidae
Description: lncRNA (ENSSSAG00000100339.1)
Source: RNAcentral
GUUAGGUAGUUCCUCCUCUCUACCCUAGGGUUAGGUAGCUCCUCCUCUCUACCCUAGGGUUAGGUAGCUCCUCCUCUCUACCCUAGGGUUAGGUAGCUGUAGCUCCUCCUUUCUACCCUAGGGUUAGGUAGCUCCUCCUCUCUACCCUAGGGUUAGUUAGCUCCUCCUCUCUACCCUAGGGUUAGGUAGCUGUCUAGCUCCUCCUCUCUACCCUAGGGUUAGUUAGCUGUCUAGCUUCUCCUCUCUACCCUAGGGUUAUUUAGCUGUCUAGCUCCUCCUCUCUACCCUAGGGUUAUUUAGCUGUCUAGCUCCUCCUCUCUACCCUAGGGUUAGUUAGCUGUCUAGCUCCUCCUCUCUACCCUAGGGUUAGGUAGCUGUCUAGCUCCUCCUCUCUACCCUAGGGUUAGGUAGCUGUCUAGCUCCUCCUCUCUACCCUAGGGUUAGUUAGCUGUCUAGCUCCUCCUCUCUACCCUAGGGUUAGGUAGCUGUCUAGCUCCUCCUCUCUACCCUAGGGUUAGUUAGCUGUCUAGCUCCUCCUCUCUACCCUAGGGUUAGGUAGCUGUCUAGCUCCUCCUCUCUACCCUAGGGUUAGUUAGCUGUCUAGCUCCUCCUCUCUACCCUAGGGUUAGGUAGCUGUCUAGCUCCUCCUCUCUACCCUAGGGUAAGGAUUAGGUACAGUAGCUGUCUAGCUUGACUGUUGUUGGCUCCAUAGCUGGCUGUUCAGAUGUGUUCAGUUUCAGGAGAGACUCCCCUUACAGUUAGUGAAGUGCAGUCAAUGAAAACCUGUGUGAGUGAAUAGAAAUGUUAAGAGCUCUUUGUCUGAGUGAAUGUCAUUGCUGGAGCAAGUUAUUGGGAUGAAUAUUCAUGUCCAUAUUCUGUAGUUCAGAAUAUGGGCAUGAAUGAGACAAGGUGGCAGCUUACAUGCAUGUCUUGGGUAAUGUCGUAGGUGGAGCACCUCUUGUAGGGGUCAGUGUGUCAUCGGCGGAGCCCCUACCUGUUGGACUGAAUGAUAUGACUGGUCCCCUGUUGGAAAGAGCUUGAUGGGUAAAUCCUCACGUGGCUGUAGUGGCUGUGUCUGGAGGAAACAUGUCUGUAUGACUGUGUGUGAUUGGUUGUCUGUUUUUACCUCACCAAUGGGAGGGCUCCAUGCUCACUGAAGGCCCUUCGAUAAGGACCUGUAAACACAUUAUAUUUCUCUAUAGCUUCUUUAUCAUCUUAAGUCUUAUAACGGCAUAUUAUAUACAGACUGGUCACUGUAUUACAAAUCUGUAGCAAAAACAAGUGCCCAGACCAACAGCAUAGAAAUAAACACACAGACAUGUACACCCUCUCACUCAAUAACACAGAUCAC